This 531-nucleotide long non-coding RNA is filed under the name Olea europaea subsp. europaea. The record is from RNAcentral. Lineage: Eukaryota; Viridiplantae; Streptophyta; Magnoliopsida; Lamiales; Oleaceae.
AUUUUUUUGGUGCGAAACAAUCAAUCAAAAAAUGAAUUUAUCACUAUAAACAACUCUAAAUUUUAGUACAAAUUAAUAUAGAAAAUGAAAUAAACAACAAUUUAAAUGAUAAUACUAUGGUAUCCUAAAUAUAAUAUGUGCUCAUCUUCCAUGAACAUUUGUUAAUGCUUCUGUGUUCUCUUUUGAUACUUGUCCUUGAUCCAGUGAAAUCCGGCGGUGGCGCCGGUCUUCAUUUUCCUCAUGCUAGUGGUGGCCGCCGCCUUAGUUUUAUCCAACUUGUCGCCGACCUUGCCGGAAAAUUUGGGAGUACCACCAGAUUUGGCGUUGCUGUUGUAAUUAUACAUCGGCUCUGGAUCCCAUUGAUCAGCCCAUGAGGUUUCAUACGAAGUGUUUGAUGCCAUUAAUAUAAAGAGAAAAUUUUGUUUUAAGGUUGUUUGAUUCAAGAGAUUUACAACGUGGGAUUGGGCUUUUAUAUAGGAAUUUCCGAACGGCGGUGAUAAUAAUUUAACCUAAUUUUCAACAAGACGGCGC